UUUGAGCCAGUUCAAACCAAUUUGCAAUCCGGUUUCAAAAGUAGUGGGAAUCAGGUCCAGGUGAGCAAUGGGCACCUUCCUUUCUUGCAUUUGAAGCACCCCUUCUCCAACCAGGAAAGAAGCAGAUGGAUCCUUGGACCACCUUCCGUUGAGUUCUGCCACACAAAAUAUCGACAACCUCCAGUUUGCUAGACAGUGUGUGUAAUGCGCUGAAAUUUCCUCCUGCCAUUGCAGACAAUGACAACGCGCAAUCACUCAUUAUAACUCAAUUACAGUAAUUAAAACUGGUGGGAUGCAGCGACGGAACAGAUGACAGGAAAGUGGGGAGGCCGACAAGAUGUUACACUCCGUGGCAUCAGCAAGAAAUAACAGCAGCUGAUGGCAUUCUCCAUGCCACCGACUGCCAUCUGCUUGGGAGACGCGGCGGAGGAGAUGGCGGCAACGAAAGAGGUGCCACGGCUGCAACAGAGCAUACGGAACUGACAACCGGAUCUGGCCUUUUUAAACUGGAGGCGGAUGGGAACCCAAGCCUUGCUACCUCAGAAAAGGUGCGUUGGACCUUGGACUCCUCAAGAGGUUUUCCUGCACCUGAGGUGCUCCGGAGGGUUUUGGAUCUUGGAGAUGCCGGGGAUGCCGAGAGCGCUCUGAGCAUUUGUAUUUUCCAACGAAGCAGGAUCCUCAUUAAAAGCCUUUUUGUAAAUGUCACCACAGCCUGGGCCAGCGGAUAUUUAGAUUUAUAACACAGAAGGUGGUUUCAAAUGGAGUCUGGGAGGAACUUGGAGGAGACCAGACCACUGCAGCGUGUGCCAAGCUUGGAAAGAAAGGGAACACAAAAAACAUAAGGAGAACCAGGUGGAGGAUUCUGGGUGUUGCAUUGCAAUCCCUUUAGCACUUUGCAUAGGAAAAAAAUAAAUGUGAAAUGUGGUCCCUACACUCUUAUCUGCCAAUCUCGCUGGCGUCUCACCCCAAAAGCACCUUUCGGCUGUGAAGGCUUAUCUGGAGAAUGUUUCAACCCAUAAUGAAUCCGCCAUGGCUUUUCGUUCCUCUCCUCCUGCCAGGACAGACUUACGUUCCCGUCUUCCUUUCUUGCCUUCCAGCGACUGCAAUGUCUUUUUGGGAUGGGAACCAAAGUACUGUGGAGUUCAGAGACAGAACAUUGUGUCACGGGAACCGGUCCCUGGUUAAAAUUGGCAGACUGUCACGUUUUGGCGUGGAACACCUGGAAAUGAGAUCAGUUUCCUGUCAGUUAGCAAACUUGGAGAGACAAGG
Molecule: long non-coding RNA, 1269 nt
Organism: Sceloporus undulatus (fence lizard)
Lineage: Eukaryota; Metazoa; Chordata; Lepidosauria; Squamata; Phrynosomatidae
Exons: 3
Source: RefSeq, a predicted model, not a curated record